RNAcentral lists this ribosomal RNA (251 nucleotides) under uncultured Actinomycetes bacterium. RNAcentral's name for it is "uncultured actinobacterium partial 16S ribosomal RNA". It matches the Rfam family "Bacterial small subunit ribosomal RNA", at positions 32 to 276 of the family's 1533-position model. Lineage: Bacteria; Bacillati; Actinomycetota; Actinomycetes. The record is from RNAcentral.
AACGCUGGCGGCGCGCUUAACACAUGCAAGUCGAGCGAGAACCGGAGCUUCGGCUCCGGGGACAGCGGCGAACGGGUGAGUAACACGUGGGUAAUCUGCCCUCGGUUCUGGGAUAGCCCGGGGAAACCCGGAUUAAUACCGGAUAGCCUCUCUGGCCCUCGGGCCGGCGAGAAAAGGUAGCUUCGGCCUCCGACUGAGGAUGAGCCCGCGGCGGAUUAGCUUGUUGGCGGGGUAACGGCCCACCAAGGCGA